RNAcentral lists this ribosomal RNA (1485 nucleotides) under metagenome. Its description in RNAcentral is "bacterial SSU rRNA". It matches the Rfam family "Bacterial small subunit ribosomal RNA". The record is from RNAcentral.
AGAGUUUGAUCCUGGCUCAGAUUGAACGCUGGCGGCAUGCCUUACACAUGCAAGUCGAACGGCAACGCGGGGCAACCUGGCGAAGAGUGGCGAACGGGUGAGUAAUGAAUCGGAACGUGCCCAGUAGUGGGGGAUAGCCCGGCGAAAGCCGGAUUAAUACCGCAUACGACCUACGGGUGAAAGCGGGGGACUCGCAAGAGCCUCGCGCUGUUGGAGCGGCCGAUGUCAGAUUAGGUUGUUGGUGGGGUAAAAGCCUACCAAGCCGACGAUCUGUAGCUGGUCUGAGAGGACGACCAGCCACACUGGGACUGAGACACGGCCCAGACUCCUACGGGAGGUAGCAGUGGGGAAUUUUGGACAAUGGGCGCAAGCCUGAUCCAGCCAUGCCGCGUGCGGGAAGAAGGCCUUCGGGUUGUAAACCGCUUUUGUCAGGGAAGAAACGCUCUGGGCUAACACCCUGGGGUAAUGACGGUACCUGAAGAAUAAGCACCGGCUAACUACGUGCCAGCAGCCGCGGUAAUACGUAGGGUGCAAGCGUUAAUCGGAAUUACUGGGCGUAAAGCGUGCGCAGGCGUCUUGCAAGACAGAUGUGAAAUCCCCGGGCUUAACCUGGGAACUGCAUUUGUGACUGCAAGGCUAGAGUGCGGCAGAGGGGGAUGGAAUUCCGCGUGUAGCAGUGAAAUGCGUAGAUAUGCGGAGGAACACCGAUGGCGAAGGCAAUCCCCUGGGCCUGCACUGACGCUCAUGCACGAAAGCGUGGGGAGCAAACAGGAUAUACCCUGGUAGUCCACGCCCUAAACGAUGUCAACUGGUUGUUGGGAAGGUUCCUUCUCAGUAACGUAGCUAACGCGUGAAGUUGACCGCCUGGGGAGUACGGCCGCAAGGUUGAAACUCAAAGGAAUUGACGGGGACCCGCACAAGCGGUGGAUGAUGUGGUUUAAUUCGACGCAACGCGAAAAACCUUACCUUCCCUUGACAUGUCUGGAAUCCUAGAGAGAUUUGGGAGUACUCGAAAGAGAGCCAGAACACAGGUGCUGCAUGGCCGUCGUCAGCUCGUGUCGUGAGAUGUUGGGUUAAGUCCCGCAACGAGCGCAACCCUUGUCAUUAGUUGCUACGAAAGGGCACUCUAAUGAGACUGCCGGUGACAAACCGGAGGAAGGUGGGGAUGACGUCAGGUCAUCAUGGCCCUUAUGGGUAGGGCUACACACGUCAUACAAUGGCCGGUACAGAGGGCUGCCAACCCGCGAGGGGGAGCCAAUCCCAGAAAACCGGUCGUAGUCCGGAUCGCAGUCUGCAACUCGACUGCGUGAAGUCGGAAUCGCUAGUAAUCGCGGAUCAGCUUGCCGCGGUGAAUACGUUCCCGGGUCUUGUACACACCGCCCGUCACACCAUGGGAGCGGGUUCUGCCAGAAGUAGUUAGCCUAACCGCAAGGAGGGCGAUUACCACGGCAGGGUUCGUGACUGGGGUGAAGUCGUAACAAGGUA